GUCGAGCGGAUGAAGAGAGCUUGCUCUCUGAUUCAGCGGCGGACGGGUGAGUCAUGCCUAGGAAUCUGCCUGAUAGUGGGGGACAACGUUUCGAAACGAACGCUAAUACCGCAUACGUCCUACGGGAGAAAGUGGGGGAUCUUCGGACCUCACGCUAUCAGAUGAGCCUAGGUCGGAUUAGCUAGUUGGUGAGGUAAUGGCUCACCAAGGCUACGAUCCGUAACUGGUCUGAGAGGAUGAUCAGUCACACUGGAACUGAGACACGGUCCAGACUCCUACGGGAGGCAGCAGUGGGGAAUAUUGGACAAUGGGCGAAAGCCUGAUCCAGCCAUGCCGCGUGUGUGAAGAAGGUCUUCGGAUUGUAAAGCACUUUAAGUUGGGAGGAAGGGCAGUAAAUUAAUACUUUGCUGUUUUGACGUUACCGACAGAAUAAGCACCGGCUAACUCUGUGCCAGCAGCCGCGGUAAUACAGAGGGUGCAAGCGUUAAUCGGAAUUACUGGGCGUAAAGCGCGCGUAGGUGGUUUGUUAAGUUGAAUGUGAAAGCCCCGGGCUCAACCUGGGGACUGCAUCCAAAACUGGCAAGCUAGAGUACGGUAGAGGGUGGUGGAAUUUCCUGUGUAGCGGUGAAAUGCGUAGAUAUAGGAAGGAACACCAGUGGCGAAGGCGACCACCUGGACUGAUACUGACACUGAGGUGCGAAAGCGUGGGGAGCAAACAGGAUUAGAUACCCUGGUAGUCCACGCCGUAAACGAUGUCAACUAGCCGUUGGAAUCCUUGAGAUUUUAGUGGCGCAGCUAACGCAUUAAGUUGACCGCCUGGGGAGUACGGCCGCAAGGUUAAAA
RNAcentral lists this ribosomal RNA (843 nucleotides) under uncultured bacterium. RNAcentral describes it as "bacterial SSU rRNA". It matches the Rfam family "Bacterial small subunit ribosomal RNA", at positions 61 to 899 of the family's 1533-position model. The record is from RNAcentral.